UAAACGACUCUCGGCAACGGAUAUCUCGGCUCUUGCAUCGAUGAAGAACGUAUCGAAAUGCGAUACUUGGUGUGAAUUGCAGAAUCCCGUGAACCAUCGAGUCUUUGAACGCAAGUUGCGCCUGAAGCCAUUAGGUUGAAGGCACGUCUGCCUGGGCGUCACGC
RNAcentral lists this ribosomal RNA (164 nucleotides) under Daboecia cantabrica. Its description in RNAcentral is "5.8S ribosomal RNA". It matches the Rfam family "5.8S ribosomal RNA". From Rfam's summary of the family: 5.8S ribosomal RNA (5.8S rRNA) is a component of the large subunit of the eukaryotic ribosome. It is transcribed by RNA polymerase I as part of the 45S precursor that also contains 18S and 28S rRNA. Lineage: Eukaryota; Viridiplantae; Streptophyta; Magnoliopsida; Ericales; Ericaceae. The record is from RNAcentral.